ACAGCGAUGGUCUAGUGGUCAAGACACCUCACCUUUACGGCCUUGCAAACACAAGCGCACCGACAACCUACAGACGGCUGUAUGUUCUACGUACUACCUGACGGUUCUAGGGGCUGAGGAGAUCGUGUGUUCGAAUCACACUUGCUGCA
Molecule: transfer RNA, 149 nt
Filed under: Aureobasidium pullulans
Lineage: Eukaryota; Fungi; Ascomycota; Dothideomycetes; Dothideales; Saccotheciaceae
Also listed under: 1 other name
Description: tRNA-Lys
Rfam family: tRNA
About the family: Transfer RNA (tRNA) molecules are approximately 80 nucleotides in length. Their secondary structure includes four short double-helical elements and three loops (D, anti-codon, and T loops).
Source: RNAcentral